ACACUGAUUAGUAAAAUUUCUGACCCACCACAAUGUGUAUGGUGGAACGUGCUGCCUAUUGAAGCUAGUCAUGUGAAGUGAGAGGAAUUGGCCUGUUCUGAGUCCAAUCAGACACAGUAAGAAUAGGCCAGCCUGACCCAUUCAUUCAUAAGGGAGUUUUUCACCGGAUAAGAAGAUGAGAAAAGAAAUGUACAUUUUAUGGUCGCAGCAAGAGAACUUGGUAUUGCAUGGGGUGAUACACCAAAGUAUUGGGAAUGAGUAUCUCUUUUGGACUCCAGGUUUUAUAUUUUAGCGAUCCCAUUCCUUGUACCUUAAAUUUUUUUGAAAGAUAUUACUUUAUUUAAUAUAGAUAUUGAGCAUGGUGAAGUUUUUGUAGAUUCUCAAAAGUGGCUAAACUCAAUUUGGUCUGUUGGCUAGAUAUUCGAGGCAAAAUUGAAACUCGAAUACUGUCGAAAAGAACCAAAUAUGUUGCUUAUCUAGUGUUCAAAUGGGAAGAUAACUUUUUUUGGCCUUAGAACUGCUAAUGGAGUUGUUAGAUUUGUUGAUUCUGAGAAUGACCAUAAAACGGAGCAACGAGGUAAAGUUGUAGGUUUUCAAGAUGAGGAGCUAGAGAGACACUACCCUUGAAAAGAGGUGAUGGAUGGAACUAAAAAAUGGGAAACCUUUUCAACGAUACAGGAGAAUAUGGAGAAGUUGAAGCGCAAUAGAUGGAGUUUAGGCAUCUCGGUUGGAAGCACGGCCUCAUUGUUCACGGAAUUGAGUUUCAUCCAGAAAGAUGAAGAGAAGGAUCCUCCUCUUACUAUGCCUUUUGUUUUGGUCUCAUUUGGAUUGAUUCAAAUACUUCUUAUAUUGUCCUUCCCGAGGAAUGUAUCGAGAUUAACAUGGUAUUGAAUGUAUUAUCUAGACAAUAAUUAUUUUUUUAACAAGGUAUUGAAUGUAUCAUCAAAGAUUUGCUAGAUGAACAACCAUUUGUGUCAGCUCGUACUACCACUGAAAUUGUUCUGUAUAAUGCUCUAAAUUCAUGAAAAUCA
Solanum dulcamara is the source of this 1031-nucleotide long non-coding RNA. RefSeq lists it as uncharacterized. The transcript has 2 exons. The record is from RefSeq and is a predicted model, not a curated record. Lineage: Eukaryota; Viridiplantae; Streptophyta; Magnoliopsida; Solanales; Solanaceae.